Molecule: ribosomal RNA, 253 nt
Filed under: uncultured bacterium
Lineage: Bacteria
Description: partial 16S ribosomal RNA
Rfam family: Bacterial small subunit ribosomal RNA
Source: RNAcentral
UACGUAGGGUGCAAGCGUUAAUCGGAAUUACUGGGCGUAAAGCGUGCGCAGGCGGUUUUGUAAGUCUGUCGUGAAAUCCCCGGGCUCAACCUGGGAAUUGCGAUGGAGACUGCAAGGCUAGAAUCUGGCAGAGGGGGGUAGAAUUCCACGUGUAGCAGUGAAAUGCGUAGAGAUGUGGAGGAACACCGAUGGCGAAGGCAGCCCCCUGGGUCAAGAUUGACGCUCAUGCACGAAAGCAUGGGGAGCGAACAGG